UACGGGAGGCAGCAGUGGGGAAUAUUGCACAAUGGGCGCAAGCCUGAUGCAGCCAUGCCGCGUGUAUGAAGAAGGCCUUCGGGUUGUAAAGUACUUUCAGUCGUGAGGAAGGUGUUAAGGUUAAUAACCUUAGCAAUUGACGUUAGCGACAGAAGAAGCACCGGCUAACUCCGUGCCAGCAGCCGCGGUAAUACGGAGGGUGCGAGCGUUAAUCGGAAUUACUGGGCGUAAAGGGCACGCAGGCGGUUAAUUAAGUUGGAUGUGAAAUCCCCGGGCUUAACCUGGGAAUGGCAUUCAAGACUGGUUAGCUAGAGUCUUGUAGAGGGGGUAGAAUUCCAUGUGUAGCGGUGAAUGCGUAGAGAUGUGGAGGAAUACCGGUGGCGAAGGCGGCCCCGUGGACAAAGACUGACGCUCAUGUGCGAAGCGUGGGGAGCAAACGAGGGAUUAGAUACC
RNAcentral lists this ribosomal RNA (453 nucleotides) under uncultured bacterium. RNAcentral describes it as "bacterial SSU rRNA". It matches the Rfam family "Bacterial small subunit ribosomal RNA", at positions 340 to 786 of the family's 1533-position model. The record is from RNAcentral.